GUCUAUGGCCAUACCACUCUGAAUGCACCCAAUCUCGUAACUAAACAGGGUCAGCCUCGUUAGUACUUAGAUGGAAGAACAGACAAAGAAGAGCAGCAAGAACACCAUAAAGA
RNAcentral lists this ribosomal RNA (113 nucleotides) under Octodon degus (degu). The record is from RNAcentral. Lineage: Eukaryota; Metazoa; Chordata; Mammalia; Rodentia; Octodontidae.